AUACAAACAACGGAAGCAUUACAUGUCUGAGUACAUACACCUACAAAAGGAAAAGACUAAGAAGCCUGACUAAAUACGACCCUCCCAAGGGUACAAGAUCGUAGCUGGGAUACAAGCUACUCGUCGAAGUCACUAGUGUAACCAACUGCAAAACAUAAAUAAGCAAACGUGAGUACGAAGGUACUCAGCAAGUCUUACAUAAGAACUAUCUACAUAUGCAACAUUAUCAACAAAGGGGGUGGUGGAGUUUUAACAGCAGCAAGCCAACUUUGACUCACUGGCUAACCUAUACUACGAGUAUCAGAAACUUCUUUGAGGUGAGAAGACGCACACGAGUCCACAUAUUCACCAUAUCAAUACUCCACUAUGGAUCUAUUCCCGUCUCCCUACGAGAAGGCCAUCCAUAGCACUCACGCUUAUCUUGCGGAUUUUAAAGUAUCCACUUCAAGUUGUCUAUGUACUACAUAAGUCCUCCAAGUUUCCAUAUCCGAGGAAAACAGCUAUUCGAAUAGAUAAUGUUAACCCUCCAGGGGUGUACUUCUUCACACACGCUCUCGUCACUUAUCGCCCUGUACACGUCAUGUACCUCGGCAACCUUCAAGAAGAAGCCGGGCAAGGGUGUCGGCCACGACCUGACUAACCACACAAGUCUCUCAACCAGGUUUAUCGCCUAUUCGAGUUCCAUCCGCAAGGAGUUCCGGCCAAAGUCUCCAGUACGGCCCCAAACGACGUGUGCAGGGUUCCCAAGCCCACCAUCCGGGUGCCACUUGGUACACCGUGCCACAGUGCCUAGUUUGUCCCAAGCCCGUCUCAUCGGACACCACCUGGUAGACAAGUAGCACUACCUAAAAACGCCAGAAACUAGUUGCAACUCCUGGACAGAGAUCAAGUGGGUUAAUAAGCCGAGAGGGGCCGGAUAACCGGAACCCAAUGUGUGGUAGUAACUGGACUUGGAUAACAUACACAGAACUCAGUGCUUAGGGACGGUUCCAAUGAGACAACCCACCAUGUACUCGUACAUGGCCUCUCAUCGCUACCUUUACCAAAACGUGUUCACACACUUAGCCUUUAUCGGUAGGACAUGUUCACCACUCUGAUUCAUUCCCGAUGAAUCAGACCUGACACAACUCUAAGCAUAGCUGGCAUAAGGAAAACAAGCAUGGAUGAGUAGGCACAUCAAGGCUCAAGCAACUCCUACUCAUGCUAGUGGGUUUCAACUAUUUACUGUGGCAAUGACAGGUCAUGCAGAGGAAUGGGUUCAACUACCGCAGCAGAAAGUAGCAGUUGAAUCUGUCGGAUUUCGGGUUCCGGCAGACCCUUGAGGUUCGAACACUGGGGUGUGCGCGGAGAUUUCGCCUCCUACCUACCUGCACCCCUCCGCCUCGCUAAGAUCUGAGCUAUGGAAAGAACAACACAAGAGACACAAGGUUUAUACUGGUUCGGGCCACCGUUGUGGUGUAAUACCCUACUCCAGUGUGUGGUGUGGUGGAUUAGCUCUUGGGCUGAUGAUGAUGAACAAUACAAGGGAGAACAGCCUCGCGAGGGUCUGUUCUUGGCUGGGGGGAUGAACUGCUGGGAGGAGUUCAGUCACCCUUCUCUCUCUCUCUCUCUCUUCUCGAUUAUCCCUUCUCUAAACCCUAACCUCUCAGCCCCUCUAUCCUUCGAUCCUCCAAUCCUUCUCUCCUCCCCCUCUUCCAUUCUUCGGGUGGCUGGUCUUAUUUAUAGAGGCCCUGGUCCUCUUCCCAAAUAUCGAGCGAGAAGGGAGCCAACAAUGGCGGGCUAAUUUGAAAGGGGACAGCUAGUACAGGCUAUCCUGACAAAAGUAGUCUUCGCCUGCACAAAGCUCUGGUGGUGACGCCAUCUUGGGCUCCAUGAUGACCUCCGUCUUGCAGUCCUCCUGGUCUUGGUCUUGUUGCACCGACACGGCAACCUUUGCCUGAUGCCUCGGUACUCCGCGGCUGCGCUUGCCCCCUUUGCACCAAAGAGGAAAGGAGGACACUGCGCGGGCUGGCACCCGCCUGGCGCCCUUGGUCGUCAUGGCUUGCGUCACGGGCACCUCGUGAGGUACCCCGCCUUGAUCUCUCCGCCUCCUCGUGAGCCAGCCUGAUGAGGCCAUGCCUAAGGAAGCUCCGCGUCGUCCGCCCCGCGAGGCUUGGCCCCUCGCGAGGGUCUUGGGUUUGUGUUGGUGAAGAUGGGUCGUGCUGGACCCCCUUUUGAGCCACGCCACAGGCCGCAGGCAGGCAAGUAUGGGGACCCCUGUUCCCAGAAUGCCGACAGUAGCCCCCGGGCCCAAGGCACGCCCGGACUUGGCCGUGCAGGGAGGCGGAAGGGCAAGAGCGAAGCGCCGCGGGCCCUAACAGCCUGCGGCCUUGGGCGUCGUGUGGCGGUUGAUUGGACGUGGGCGCCUUAGCAACCGCGCGAGUUGAUAAAGGAGCGGCAUCCGCCUAGGCUUUGCUCCUUGCUUUCCCCGGUUGCUGCUCAGAUCCCCUUUCUUGCACCUCUCCUUCCCUCCCCCAAAAUUUCCAGAUCUACUCCGACCGUGUGACCUAGGAAGGCAUGGCGCCUCGUCAGCCCCCGGCCGUAGCUUGGUACUCGUUUGCCCUGGACCCGCUGAACAUGUCGGAGGCGAGCCUUGCCCGGUUGCGCCGGAUGGCGACGGCGCGGGGCAUCAACAGGGCGAAGGUGUUCAAGGCCGGCUCCGCCACCCCUGAGGGUCAAGGGAGCACCUUCUAUCCAUUCUUCGUAAGUGCCAUUGCUGCUGGCCUGGUGCCUCCCUUCUCCGAGUUCUUCUUCUCUGUCCUCCGCCAUUAUAAGCUAUAGGCUCUGCAUCUCCACUCCAACUCCGUCCUUCUCCUGGCAAUCUUCGCCUAUUACUGCGAGGCUCACGUAGGGGUGCAGCCCUCGGUGGCCUUGCUGCGCCAUUACUUCUACCUCCGGACCUCUCGUGGUCCUGCUUCCGCGUGCGCAAGCUUCGUCGCGUACGGUGGCACCAUUGCCAUUUCGAACCCCGGGAAAAGGAUUGUGGGCUUCAGGAGCAAGUGGGUCUUGGUGGAUGCUGGGCGCAUCCACCCUCGGCUGAUCUUGCCCAUGGAGCAGCCCACGAGCUCCAGCGAUUGGGGUCGAGCGGAGCUCGCGGACCCCCGCGCGAAGCUGGUGUUGGAGAAGAUGGAUGCGGAUCUGAGGCCGGCCAACAUGGCGGCGGCGAAGCUGACCGGCGCGUCGCUGCUGAGGGAAUUCCUGGAGCACCAGCUGGCUCCGCUUCGGCAGUACUCACUUCCGAUGUGGAGGCCCCGUCCGAGCCCCGCGGCCUUGGCCGACGGAGAUCUGGCUGCGGUCCUCCAAUCUCUGGUCGGGGGCGAUGUGGCGAGGUUGGAGGGCGCUCCUACGCCCUUGUUCCUCUGCGACGACUAGGAGCAGGUAGUGGAGUCCAUGCCCGUCUUCAACGGGGAUGGGCCCGUGCCCAUGGAAACUCCCGAGGAACCGGUGGACGUGCCCUCCGAUGACUCCAGCGAAGAGGAGGAAGGAGGGGAGUGGGAAAAAGGGCCUGACUCCGGAGCGACUGACGGAGAGUCGAGGCCUCCCCUCCCCCGGCGCAGGUCCCGCGUUCUCCGCCUUUCUCCGAGCGAUGACGACGAGGAUGACGACGAGGAUAACGACGAGCAGGACGGCGGGAGCUUGCCCCCGAUCCCGAAGAGGCACAGGACCGGGCUGAUCUCCCGCGGGUCUGCCCCGGCCCCGAGGCGGACCGCAGACGCACCUUUCGCUUCCAAGCUUCCCGAGGUUGACCCUUCCAGCCGGCUUUCAGGCUUCAAAUUUGGCCGGAGGCCGCUUGAGCUCACUGGCGAUGACCCGUAAGCAUUUGAUUCUUGUCUUUAUUUCUUGCUCUGCUUCUGAGGCUUGACGUCCGCAUCUCUUGGAUAGGCUGGCGCGCGCAGCAAAGAAGUCGAAGGGAGCUCCUGAGGUUCCAUCCGUGGCAGCGCCUCUGCCCGCGAAGGAGGGUGACCGCGACGCACAGGCUUCUCCUGCCCGGUCGUCCUCGCGAGGCCUGGCUGAGCCGGCUGGGGCGAGCUCAGCCCCCUCGGCCCAAGUGACUCCCGAGGUGUCCUUGCCUGCCGCCGCCACUACAGCCGUUGGGGCGCGGCAGACUCCGCCUCCGGAUGUUGUGGUCGCGCUGCCGCCUUCUCCUCCUACUCCACCAGCUGCUGUCUCUCCGACUCCUUCUGCCAUUCUGGAUCGUGCUGUUGCUGAGCUGGACCGGCUGCAGCAGGAUCUUCUUGGCGCCAACCCUCGCUUGGUGGCCGGGCGCUUGGAGCUGGCUUCAGGAUGGGUUCGCUCCGACGCUUCGAUUCGGGCGGCGCUGGUCCAGGCCUCGACGGCUUGCGACGAGGAGAAGCAGACCGUCCUUGAGGCGAAGGCUGCUCGUGAUGCAGCCCUGGGGGAGGUGGUCGACGUCCGUGGACGUUGCAAGGCGCUAGAGGACGAACUGCAAGACUUGUCGGACCAGCUCGCGAAAGAGGUCCGCCUUCGCCAAGAGCAGGAAGAAGGCGUGAAGGCUCGCGAGGCGGCCGUCAAGGAGAGGGAGGUCAAGCUCAGGAAACGCCGCGACCGCCUAGGCGCGCUGGAGCAGGAGUUGGGGGCGAGGAAGGCCAAGUUGGACGACAAGGCCUUGGUUCUUGCCGAGGACCGCGUGGCCUUCAUGGAGAUGAAGGCGAAGGCACGCUCCUCGCUGAGGACGCUUUACGACAGCGGCCUGGAGAGCCCGCUGGCUGGCGCCAAGGACGGCCCCGCCAAGCUGCUUCCCUUCCUGGUUCGCGCUCUUGAAUAUGUCGCCCUUGGCCUUGGCCCCACGGCCAAGGCCGAGGCGCGUGUCCUGUCUUCUGCAGCACUGACGCAGGUCCUCACCCACAUCUACCUUCGCGAUCCCGGCGUCGACCUCGACAGCCUGCUGGAGCCAGUAAGCGGUGACCGUGUCGCUGCCGCUGCCGAGGCCGUGAAGGGUCGUGCGGAGGCUUUGCUGGGGAAGUUCCGGGCCUUCAGCACCAAGCCGAAGCAAGGCGCUGCCGACCCCACUACUCCAUGAGGCGAACCCACUCCGCGCUGCUCCACCGCCGACAAGUGACUCCUUGUGGCCCCUGUCCUGCCUUUAAUUCCUGCACAUGUAUCAUGCCUCGGGGAGGCGUUUAAACUUGUGUUUGGCAUUGAGAUAACAGUGUGGACUGUAAUAUUUGCUUUUGAAUUCCUUGAAAUUUGCGCUUUUCCUUCCUACUUGCUUAUGUUCUACGCCGGCAGAGCCCGGCCCCGCGCAUACCUCACCCAGCGUUGGUCCCGACCGGAAACCAGGACGGGGCCAAGGAGUGAGGGGCUAUGUGACAAGUUAGGCUCCUGAGUCGCGAUGCUCAGGAGUCCCCCUUGGCGCACGAACAACAAGUAGGGAGGUGUGAUGUGGGUGGAUCUACCGUUCUACGUCUGCAGAGCCCGGCCGCGCGCAUACCUCAAUCGCCGUUAGCCUUUCGGAAUUAAGGAGUGAGGGGCUACGUGACCAGUUAGGCUCCUGAGUCGUGAUGCUCAGGAGUCCCCCUUGACGCUCAAACAACCUUCGUACCUUGGCUCCGCUCGGGGAGAGACGCGCGACGAACCAGGCCCGGGGGGACCUGGCUGGGCGGCGUGCGUCUGGGUGUGACCCAGGCGCAGCCCCCGUGCCCAGCCCCCUCGCGCGGCACUCCCGAGGGGAGGCGUUACGAUGAGGCUACACACUGAGCUCUGGGCUCCCUAAGGUUGAUGCGGCCCGGGGGCCACCCUCAGUUGUUUAUCACCAGCGUGGAGCAUAGCGCUUCCGUAUGUGUACGGGCAUAGCCGCUCCUCGGCAGUGUCGUUAGCCAGCGCGGAGCAUGGUGCUUCCACUGGUACGUGGGAGGGGGCCCCCCUCCGGGAGGAGCCCCCGGGGCGUGUACAGCCCCGCCCUGACACGUGGCUGGCACGGUAGGGCCUGGCGAGGUGUAUCUGGGCACCCGUGAGCCAGCGCGGGACUCACGGGGCCCUACCUCUAGGCGGGUUGCGCCUGGCACUGGGCCUUAUCUUGUGAUGUCUCCCUGCAAAUUUGGUUAGAUGUCGGCACUCUACGUCCUCGGGUCCCGGCCCUCGAGCUGGUCUCAGUCGUCGCUGGUAUGCCAGGUCGCGAUGCCGUGGACAAGGCUAGAGCGUGAGGGCUGGAGAGCCAGUAAGAGCCCUGAGUCGCGAUGCUCAGGUACCCCCCCCCUUUAACGUGCAAGUGGUCGGCAUGGAGAAGAGGAGGUGCCGUGGACCAGCAUCAAAUAAUCAAGCAUGGUGGGUCUAACGCAUAACCGGAAAUAAACGCAAAUGGGAUACAUGCCGCUGGGCCUGGCCCGAGCGACUUGGGGAUCAUGCAGCCCAAGGGGCGCCCCCAACAAGGUAAGCUAACAACAUGAAAUGAAAGGGAUACACGCCGCAGGGACGGACCCACGCGGCCUGGGAAUAAUGCAGCCCUGGGGGAUGCUCCCAGCUGGAAAUGAAACUUGAAAGAUGUCACCGGAUGACGCUGAGGACGAAGGAGCGUUGGUGUAGCAGACUCGGUGGGCUGCGGAAGUCGAUCCUCACGAGCCCCCAGGCCCAGGGGCCUCGGGAAGAUCCGGAGGCGCUGGCGGCUCCUCGCGGACCAUCUCCAUCCCCGCCAGGGCUGCGGAACGCUGGCCUCUCGUGCCUCCGUGAUGCCCCUCAUGAGGCGCUGGUACGUGGUAGCCGCGUUCGGCAAGCCGUAAGGCAUGCGAACGUAGCUGUGGGGUGGACCUCCGCAGCGCCCCACUCGCGAGGGCCAGAGGCGCUCCAGAGAGGCGACUCGGUUGAGCCCUGGUAUGUCGAUGCAGAUGCGCAUCCCACCAUCCUCGCCUGGAUGGGGAGCCACUGCUGGUAGGCGGCGGCCGCCUUUCAUGACUCUUGACUCCUGUAGCUCCUGAAUGGCCUUGCUGACGAACUCCUGAGGGUCUGGCUCUCCUUGCCUUGCUCCUUCUUGAGGGAAACGUGCUUCGAAACACGCCUCCAUGUGGUGCCCAAGCGCCUCCCUCGUGACCCUAGCUAGGUCGGUGGCCCUCCAGGGGAGAGCCCCCGAGCCCUGCAUGAGGGGGGCGCCAGGCGCGCUUUCCUAUGCGAUGGAAGGGGGUUCCCCCUGGGCAAGCGCGGGCCUAGAGGGGCCUUCCUCCUGAGUGGUCAGGCCGGACGAUGUCUUCUUCUUCUUGGGGGCGGUCUCGGGAGGCCUCCUGCUUUCGCGAUCCGGGUCUUCCAGUGACGCGGCCUGAAAGGCUCGUUCCAGGGAACACACCGCGUCCUUCUCUUCAUAGGGCACCAUGAUGACUCCGCCACUUCCUGGCAUCUUGAGGACGUUGUAGCCGUGGUGAGUUACGGCCAUGAACUUGGCCAGCGCUGGGUACCCAAGGAUGGCGUUGUACGGCAGGCGAAUGUGAGCGACGUCGAAGUCGAUGAGCUCGGUGCGGUAGUUGUCGCGUGCCUCGAAGGUGACAGGGAGGCGGACCUGCCCAAUCGGGACCGUGGAGCCGUCGGUGAUUCCAGAGAAAGGCUUGGUUGGCUGAAGCUGGCUGUAGGGCACUUGGAGAUUGUUGAGUGUUUCCACGGACAGGACGUUGAGCCCUGCCCCGCCAUCGAUGAGGGUCUUGGUGAGCACCACAUUGCUGACGAUUGAGGAACGGAGCAUCGGGAGGACUCCGGCUGUAGCCGUACACUUGAGCUGAUCUGCUGAGCUGAACGUGAUGGCGCACGCCGACCACCUGAGAGGGCGCGUGGCUUCGAGCCUGGGGAGGACUGCGUUCACUUCAUGGGCGAACUGCUUCAAGAUGCGUUGAGAGGCUGGGGCAUGAGCCCCGCCCAGGAUGCAAGCGAUCGCGCGCGGCUCCUGGAAGCCCCGAGGCCCCUUGUCCUGGUGGAGGUCCUCGUUUCUCCUUGGCUGCGGCGGCAGCGGAGGGAGGCCUGCGUUUCCUUGCGGGCGCGGUCCUUGCGAGGUUGAUCGCGCCACCCUUAGCGCGGGUCAUGGUCUUCCCAGCGUCCUGCGUUCCUUCCUCCUCCUCGACCAUAGCCCCGGUCACCGCGGUCAGGGCGACGGCCAAUCCUUCCUUCUCGCACGGCUCGGAGCUCUUGACAUUCGUUGGUGUUGUUGGUGUGGAGGCCGUGUUACACACAGUACCGGCUGCCCUUGGAAGGUUCGGGCUGAUCUCUGCCCCGCUUGGUGUCUGGUUCUGCCGCGAGCACGGUAGCCCCCUUGCGCUUCACAUCCUUGGCCUUGGGCUUCUUCUCUUCUGGGUCUGCGGCAGGCAGCUCGAGGAGGAAGAGAUGCCCUUCCUCAGCCCUGGCACACUUGGUUGCCAAGUUGAACAGCUCCAAGGAAGUGCACAGGUCUUCAUGCAUCGCCAGCUCCUCCUUCAUCUUGACGUCGCGCACGCCGUCGGAGAAGGCUGAGAUGAUGGCCUCCUCAGUCACCUUGGGAAUCUUGAGGCGUGCGUUGUUGAAGCGCUGGAUGUACUUCUGCAGGGUCUCCCCGGGCUGUUGCUUGAUGCGGCACAUGUCGCUCACGGCGAGUGGCCGGUCGCGAGUACCUUGGAAGUUGGCGAUGAAGCGGGUGCGCAUCUCGUCCCAGGAGGAGAUCGUGCCUGGAGCCAGGUUCAGGAGCCAGGUGCGGGCCCCGUCCUUGAGCGCCAUGGGGAACCAGUUUGCCAUGACCUUCUCAUCUCCGUUGGCAGCUUCGAUGCCCAGCUCGUAGAGCUGGAGGAACUCUGCAGGGUCAGCCGUGCCAUCGUAACAAGGAGGCAGGUCUGGCUUGAACUUGCCGAGCCACGCGAUGUUGCAUAGCUCGGUGGUGAAGGCGCGGCAGCCUGCUGUGGCCACGAGAGGCCUUGGGUGACGGAGAGCUUGGUCUUGCAUGUCCCCACGCGCUGCAGCUGUGAGCAGCGCGGGGUCUUGACGCGCGGGAGCAGGAGCAUGGUCGCGACGUGCUAGAGCAGGGAGCGCUCGGGCAGCUUCUUGCGGGCGAGGGACUUCUUGGCAGCUGUGCUCUUGCCGCGCUGGCACCUGACGGAGCGGGUUCCGCCCAGGGGCCACGCGCCUUGGAGCCAUGGCGCCUUCCUGAGGAGGAGGCGGCCGGGGCGCCGCCGGAGCUUCAUCGCCCGCGCGGGGCGGGGUGUAGUGCAGCGGAACGGAGGACGCAGGAGAGCCCCCUGCGACACGGACGAGCUCGACGACGCGGUCGAGCCAUUCUUCGUAGACGUCGUCGACGAGACGGUAGCACAGUAGCUCGUUUGCCGCGAUGAGCGCAGCUCGAGCCUCCAUGGGCGCGCGGAGCGCGCGGGACGAAGAACCAGCUGGGGUGAGCGAGGGAGUUGCGGUGCGGCCGUCUUGCUGCACGGACGGAUGCUGAGACGAUGCUUGCUGCUCGUCCCCCGUCGGGCCGGUGGUGGCGUUGACGGCAGGUGACGGGGAACGGCGAGGACGCCCGCAGACAGGGGUCGUCUGGGUGAUGCGGGAAGCGAGAGCGGCCCGGCGCUCGGCGCGGGCCUGACGAGCGUCAGACAUGGGCGUGAUGGUCGGAGGAGAACGGGGUGGUGGAAGACGAAUUCCGGCGCACCCCUACCUGGCGCGCCAAAUGUCGGAUUUCAGGUUCCGGCAGACCCUUGAGGUUUGAACACUGGGGUGCGGGCGGAGAUUUCGCCUCCUACCUACCUGCACCCCUCCGCCUCGCUAAGAUCUGAGCUAUGGAAAGAACAACACAAGAGACACAGGGUUUAUACUGGUUCGGGCCACCGUUGUGGUGUAAUACCUUACUCCAGUGUGUGGUGUGGUGGAUUGCCUCUUGGGCUGAUGAUGAUGAACAAUACAAGGGAGAACAGCCUUGCGAGGGUCUGUUCUUGGCUGGGGGGAUGAACUGCUGGGAGGAGUUCAGUCACCCUUCUCUCUCUCUCUCUUCUCAAUUGUCCCUUCUCUAAACCCUAACCUCUCAGCCCCUCUAUCCUUCGAUCCUCCGAUCCUUCGAUCCUCUCCCUCUUCCAUUCUUCGGGUGGCUGGUCUUAUUUAUAGAGGCCCUGGUCCUCUUCCCGAAUAUCGAGCGGGAAGGGAGCCAACAAUGGCGGGCUAAUUUGAAAGGGGACAACUAGUACCGGCUAUCCUGACAAAAGUAGUCUUCGCCUGCACAAAGCUCUGGUGGUGACGCCGUCUUGGGCUCCACGAUGACCUCCGUCUUGCAGUCCUCCUGGUCUUGGUCUUGUUGCACCAAAAUUGCAACCUUUGCCUGAUGCCUCGGUACUCCGCGGUUGUGCUUGCCCCCUUUGCACCAAAGAGGAAAGGAGGACACUGCGCGGGCUGGCACCCGCCUGGCGCCCUUGGUCGUCAUGGCUUGCAUCACGGGCACCUCGUGAGGUACCCCGCCUUGAUCUCUUCACCUCCUGGUGAGCCAGCCUGAUGAGGCCGUGCCUGAGGAAGUUCUGCGUCGUCCGCCCCGCGAGGCUUGGCCCCUCGCGAGGGUCUUGGAUUUGUGUUGGUGAAGAUGGGUCGUGCUGGGCCCCCCUUUGAUCCACACCGCAGGCCACAGGCAGGCAAGUAUGGGGACCCCCGUUCCCAGAACGCCGACAGAAUCGUUGUUGUCCUAAAGCAAUAUAAGGAGUAGGAGCGAGAGAGUGGGAUUUAUCGAAAUGCUCAAGGGGGUUACUUGCCUAAUAGAACGACGAAGGGGCACUGCUCCUCUGACAGGUACUCGGGAACACCUUCCGGAGUGGAACCUAUCAAGAAGAAACGGUGCCGGCAAUCAAUACACAAACAAUGCAACAAUAUGAUGCAUGAACAUGACAUGUGCAAAUGGUAGUGUUUGGGCUAAUGCAAGAUGCUACCAAAUUGGUUGAAGCCCAUUUGAAUCAAAUAUUCAAAUGCAAAUUCAAAAUGAAGCAUUUAAAAUGCCCAUAUUAUGUGUUCACUUAUACAGCAUGUAUAAGUUGGUUUUUCAUGCAUGUAACUGGCAUAAAUGGAUUCCUUGCAUUUUUUUGAUCAUUUUUCAUAUAUAAGUUAUUUCAUUCUGAGCUACGGUUGAAUUAUUAUGAUUUUUUGAAGUUUAAGCAAUAUUCUGGAAUUUCCUAAGUUAAAAAUAAUUCCAGAAAUCAUUUAUUGCAUCAGCUUGAGGUCAGCACUGCGUCAGCAGUCAACUGGGUUGACCCAGGUCAAACCUGACUAGUGGGACCCACUGGUCAGUGACUAACUAAACUAACCUAGUUUAAUUAGCACUAACCUAGGUUAAACUAAUUAGUUUUAAACCUAAACUAGACUAAUUAACCGGGCGGGGCCCGCAAGUCAUAGACUCAGGGGAGGUCAAAUCCCCUGGUCAACCGGGCAAACCUGCCAGUGGCUCGACGCCAGCGAGGCCAGACGCGGCGGUGCGCUGCGGGUUUCGCCUACCGAGCGCAGCUACGGGAUGCGGACGCUCGUUCGCAUCCAACCGUGGUGGUGGCGCGGCCGGGGAGUGGUCGGAAUGGUGCCGACGACGACGAGUGCAGCGGCCGGAGUUCGGCCAGGUGCGCGCGGGGUAUUGCGGGGCACAGCAGGAGCUGCGAGCAGGUCCGCUCGACUCGUCGGAGUGCACUGAGUGCAAUGGCGAGCUCGGUUGCGAGGUGCGAUGGCCCUGGCCACGGCGGCGCCACGGCCGGCAGCACGGAGCUGUUGGCUCCGGUGGCAGAGGCGGCUAGAGGAGAGGAACGAGCUCGAGGAGGAGGGGAAAAGGCGGCGAAGCUCACAGGGAGGCUAACGAAGGGCUCGGCAGGCGCAGGGACGGCCGGUGGACAGCAAAUCGACGGCGAGGGUCUCCGGGCACCGAAGUUGAAGAAAACGUCAGGGACGGCGUUGCAGGGCCUCCGGCGAAGCCUGACUCGGCGUGGAGGUUGAGGGAGACACGACAGAGCUUCUGGGCAUGUCCAGGGGGCGAGGGGGAGGCAGUGGCCGCGGCAACGGUGAGCGGUGGCGUCGGCUGCGCUCGGUGGCGCUGCGGGGAAGAGAAAACAGAGGAGGGGAGGAGCACGGGAGAGAGUGAGAGAGGUCUAGGGGUGCGUGGCGUCUCCAGGGACGUCCAGAGGGAGGCGGCAAGCAGGAGGUGGCCGGGCUUGCGCCGGUGUGCGUCGGCCACGCGCUCGGCGUCCUCCUGGCGCGGUGGAGACGCCGACUGGCAGGGCCAGCUGGCUGGGCCGGUCAGCUGGGCCGCACAGUGCCAGGCCUCAGGUACGUGGCCCAGGUAAGGGUUUUUCCCUUUUUGUUUCUUUUUCUAUUUUUCUGACAUUUGUUUGGUUUAAUAGAAAUACUAAACCAUUUUAUUUUCUUAUGCCAAUUUUUGUAGGGGCUAGUGGUAUUAUUCCAGAGCUCCUCAAUUACUAGCAUAAUUUUUGGACAAUAUUAUAUAUAUAUAUAUAACAAUAUAUAUCCAAAGCAAAUAAUUACUGCAUUAAUUCCAAUUGCCCAAAAUAAAUACUUAUGAGCUCCUGAAAAUGUUGGUUUGAUUUUUAUCUUUGUCCAAAAUUUUCAGAGAGCAACAUGAACAUUUUCUUGGUUCUUUUUGCAGCAAUUUUUAUCUGGGUCAUUUCCAGAAAUGAUUCUGAGGGUUUCACAAAUGCUCAUUUCAAAAUUAAAAGGAAUUUAAGCAUUAUGCACAAAUGACUAGCUAGUCUAGGUCAUACCAGAACUAGGGAUGUGACAAAUUGCCCCCACUCAAAAAAAUCUCGUCCCGAGAUUCAGGAGUUGGCGGAAAGAAAGCGGGGUACUCAAGUCGAAGACGAUCUUCUCGCUCCCAAGUAGCUUCUCUCUCGGAAUGAUGAGACCACUGAACCUUGAGAAACUUGAUGUUAUGACGUCGAGUGACACGCUCUGCUUGAUCCAAAAUGCGAACGGGAUACUCUCGAUAAGUGAGGUUAUCUUGGAGAUCAAGCGUUUCGUGGUCCACUCCGCGGAUGGGAUCCGAGAAGCAAUGCCUCAGUUGAGAGACGUGGAAGACAUCAUGAACUCGAGAAAGAUGUGGGGGUAGUUCCAACUGGUAGGCAACCUCUCCUCGUUUAGCGAGAAUGCGAAAAGGACCAAUGUAACGAGGAGCCAACUUGCCCUUGAUACCGAAACGAUGGGUACCCUUCAAAGGAGUAACCCAAAGGUAAGCCUUGUCACCAACUUCAUAUGCCACUUCCUUAUGAUGACGGUCAUACUGGCUCUUUUGACGAGAUUGGGCUGUUUUCAAAUUCUCACGAAUAAUGCGAACGUGAUCUUCUGCUUCCUGAAUCAUAUCCGGCCCAAAGAAUUGUCUUUCACCGGUUUCUGACUAGUUCCAAGGUGUUCGACAUCUUCUUCCAUACAGAAUCUCAAAAGGAGCUUUCUUAAGACUGGAUUGAUAGCUAUUGUUAUAAGCAAACUCGGCGAAAGGAAGACACUUAUCCCAAUCCAUACCGACUGAGAUAACACAAGCUCUAAGCAUGUCCUCGAGAAUUUGGUUGACCAUUUCCACCUGACCACUUGACUGAGGGUGGAAAGCGGUACUGAAAGAAAGAUGGGUUCCCAUGGCAUUCUAUAAACUUUCCCAGAAAUGAGAGGUGAAAAGACUGCCACGGUCUGAAUUGAUCUCUAGUGGAACACCAUGGAGUGACACUAUUUGGAAGAUAUAUAAGUCAGCGAGCUGACUAGAAGUGAUACUCUCUCGAACAGGUAGGAAGUGAGCCACUUUGGAAAGACGAUCAAUGACUACGAAGAUAGCAUUAUUUCAUUUAUUGGUCCUGGGAAAGCCGGUGAUGAAGUCCAUACCAGCUUUGUCCCAUUUCCGCUCGGGAAUAGCUAAAGGUUGAAGGGUGCCAGCAGGUCUUUGAUGCUCUGCCUUAACGCGACAACAAACGUCACAGUUGGAAAUAUACUGAGCGAUUUCUCUCUUCAUCCUAGUCCACCAGAACCUCUAGCUUAGGUCCUGAUACAUCUCUGUACUACCGGGAUGAAUCGUGAGAGGGGAUUCAUGGGCCUCCUUAAGGAUCAAUUGCUGCAUCUGUUGACAUUUCGGAACCACCAAACGGUUUCCAAAGUAAACAACACCUCGUUCAUCCAUAGAGAAACAACCAGCAACUCCCUUGGAAAUAUUUUUCUUGAUCUGAGAGAUUCCCGUAUCAUGCUUCUGAGCCUCUAUGAUCUGAUCCGUAAGGGUAGGUUUCACCACCAAGGUAGAAAGGGAACCAUGAGGAGCUAUGUGAAGGUUAAGCUUACAGAAUUCCUCAUGGAGGGGUGGUUGACAUUGUUGCAACAUGAGGUUGUUGCAAUAGGAUUUACGACUUAAAGCAUCAGCCAUGACAUUGGCUUUACCUGGGGUGUAGGUGAUUCCUAAGUCGUAAUCCGAGAUCAACUCCAACCAACGUCUCUGUCUGAGAUUCAGAUCCGGUUGGGUGAAGAUAUACUUGAGACUUUGAUGGUCAGUGUAGAUUUCGCAACGGCUACCAAGAAGGUAAUAUCGCCAAGUCUUAAGUGUAGAGACUACGGCUGCAAGCUCUAGAUCAUGUGUAGGAUAAUUUUCCUCAUGUGGAUGCAACUAUCGAGAUGCAUAGGCAAUCACAUGACGAUCCUGCAUAAGAAUGCAACCUAGUCCUUGACGUGAAGCAUCGCAAUAGAUAACAAAGUCUUUAGUGAAAUCCGGUGGCACGAGUAUGGGCGCAGAAGUCAGGCGUCUUUUCAGUUCCUGAAAACUGUGCUCACACUGUGGGGUCCACUCAAACCUUUUAUCUUUCUUGAGAAGUUCCAUGAGGGGUUUGGCCACUUUGGAGAAGUUUUCAAUGAAGCGGCGACAAUAACUGGCUAGACCAAGGAAACUCCUAACUUGCUUGACCGUUUCGGGUGGAGUCCAAUCGAGAACGGCUUUAACUCUCUCGGGAUUGACAGCAAUGCCCUUACCAGAGAUCAUGUGGCCCAGAUAGGUCACUUCCGGCAACCAAAAUUCACACUUGGAGAACUUGGCAUAAAGGCGGUGCUCUAUGAGUUUUUCUAACACAAGUCUAAGAUGUUCGGCAUGCUCUUCCUCGUUCUUCGAGUAAAUAAGAAUAUCAUCGAGGUAAACCACGACGAACUUAUCUAAGUACUACAUGAAGAUCGAGUUCAUCAAGCGGGAGAAAGUAGCUGGAGCAUUGGUUAGGCCGAAAGACAUCACGGUGUACUCGUAUUGACCAUAACGAGUGACAAAGGCCGUUUUGGGGAUGUCCCCAUUUCUGAUUUUGAUUUGGUGGUAGCCUAACCUCAAAUCCAUCUUGGAAAAUACUGAGGAUCCAACGAGCUGAUCAUACAGGUCGUUGAUCCUGGGGAGCAGAUACUUGUUCUUUAUCGUGACCAAAUUAACGGGAUGAUAAUCUACAACCAUCCGAUCCGUACCAUCCUUCUUCUUGACGAAGAGGACAGGACAAGCCCAAGGAGAAGAACUGGGACGGAUGAAACCCUUUUGCAAGGACUCAUCAAGUUGUUUCUUAAGCUCGGCUAACUCCAAAGGUGCCAUCUUGUAUGGUCUCCUAGAGAUUGGAACAGUUCCUGGGAUAAGUUCUAUGACAAACUCUACAUCUUUGUCAGGUGGGACACCUGGCAGUUCUUCUGGAAAGACAUCCGGGAAGUCACGGACUACCGGAAUAUCUUCAAGGUCUGGAAGAGGGCUGGCAUUAAGAGAAUAGAGUUGACGCCUUGCAACUCUAGUGGAGACAGUGACUAUUUUGCCAGAUGGAUGUGUAAGUUGAACAGAUCUAGUGUAACAAUCGAUUUUGGCAUGAUGAGCUGUCAUCCAGUCCAUGCCCAAGAUGAUGUUAAUAUCUGAAGACUUGAGAGAUAUCAAAGAAGCAAGAAAUACCAGUCUGUCAACAAGGAUUUCAUUACCAUGGCUUACCUUGAAGGUUUGCCAUUUGGAACCAGGAGUCUGGAUUAUUAGUGGAGUUGGCAUAUCACAAAAUGACAUGUCGUGCAACUGAGCAUAACCUUCGGAUAUGAAGGAGUGAGAUGCUCCAGUAUCGAACAUAACUGAAGCUGGGUGACAAUUGACAAGAAGUGUUCCCAAUACGAUGUCUGGAUCAUCUUGAGCUUCUGUAGCUGAGACGUGGUGCACACAUGCUUGUUCAGUGGUGGCUGGCUUGGUACUGAUCAUCUUGCCUGAUGGCUUAUCACGGCCAACAUACCUCUCGGACUGGGGUGGAGUAUAACUGAACUGAGGGCAGUCACGUGCAUAAUGUCCUAGUUCUUCGCAGGUGAAGCAAGUUCCUAAGGUAGGACGUGGACCUACUUUGGCAAGUGGUCCACUAAUAGGCCUGGGUGGAGCACGUUGCUGAGCUGGGUGAGGCGCCACAUCAGAUGGCCUCGGUGCAUAUCCAGGUGGAAGAGCUGAGUUCAGAAUCCAAAUCCGUCGCUUCUGAGAGCCAGAGCGGGAGGAAGAACCCAUAUCACGGUUGUGCUUACGAGACUCCUCGUAAGUGAGAUGAGCUGUCUCUGCAUUGAUGGCCUUGUUCACAAGAGCCUGGAAUGAAUCACAAUGAUGCAGGUGGAGAUCACGACGCAACUUAGGGUUGAGACCCUUCCGGAACCUAGCCUGCUUCUAGGCGUCCGUGGACACUUCUUCUGUAGCAUAGCGGGCGAGGUUUCCAAACUCUCUACUGUAAGCAUCAAUAGGCAGCUUACCCUGGGUAAAACUACAGAACUCCUCCCUCUUGCGGUCGAUGAGAUCCUGAGGAAUGUGGUGCUCACGAAAAGCCUUGGUGAAAUCCUUCCAGGUAGGAAUCUGGCCAGUUGGAAGCAUAGCCUCAUAGCUCUGCCACCAAAUACUAGCAGGACCUUCCAGGUGAUAGGUAGCAUAGGUGACCUUGUCACCUUCAACCACGUUCGCAGAACACAGCUUAAGAGUGAUGCUUCGGAGUCAGUCAUCUGCAUCGAGUGUCUCAAUGGAAUGAUGGAAGGUGGGUGGUUUCAGACCAAUGAAGUCAGUGAUGGAAACCAACUUCUUACACUGAUGGGCGGUGUUCCGCUCAAUCUGUGCCAGCAAGCGGUUAGUCUCACGCUUGUUCCUCUCAGAUGCUAACAAGAACUCUGCCAUCAAAGGCUGGUCAGGAGGAUCCUCGUCCCUACCAUCUCCGUGGUUCUUGCUAUGAGCAACUGAACCUCGGUUAGGAGACGACAUCCAGGCACAGAAACCAAGGAAACAAGGAUGGAAUUAGCAUCGACAUAAGGAUGCGGAAUGUAAUGCAAAAGCAUUGGAAACUCUUGAAAUCCUAAAACAAUUUAGGCAUCAUAAUGGAUGUAAAUGCUCAAAAAGAUUUUGAGACAUUCAUCAAAGGAAUAGCAUAAUCACUCAACAUCAUAAUAUCAAGGUUCUGGGUCAAACUGAUGACAAACGGAAGUAGUAGAACUGAACAGAGACACAAACCCAACAAUCCUAAGACUUUACGGUUUAGUAACACGUCAUCCUGAGAGAUAGAGGAGAAGCCUAGUCUUUAACCCUCGUAGAAAAGAAGAGGUUGACUCAGAAAGAAUGACAUGAGGUAAAGGAGUAAAAAGAGCCUUACGUUCCCUUCCACAAUCAAUUCCCUUAUAUAACUAAAGCAUUUCUAGACUCAACUUCGACCAAUUUGGCUUGGUAAUCCUACAGUCAGUCAAGCUCUGAUACCAACGCUGUCGGGACCCUGAUUCUAAGUCACACCGAUCUAGCAUGUAACACCUCAUAUCACUUUGCGGCCUCACGCAUGGUAUUCCCAUGGGUGUCUCCUUACCAUGGCCUGGGACCGUUUGCGCCUUUUGGCUCAAGUAUAUGAUAGUGUCGCUAGCAUCCAUAUGACAGAGAACCCGGGCCGACAUGACUAGUCGUGAACCCAAAGUGGCACUAACUUACAGGGACAUGCAUACGUGAAACAACAUCGAGCAUGUCGGUCAGCAACGUGUGAAUCCAGGCUGUAGCAACUGGGCUAACAGGACUCCGGGAACCCGGGCUAUAGCAGGCUAGACAGGACUCCGGAUGUCACCGCGUGACAUUUCCCUGAAGGGACAGACACAUGAACGAAAUGAAUCACAUGCCGGCCAGUCUAAGUGUUCCGGAGCAGUAGUGCUGGGCUAGCAGGACUCCGGUCAAUCGGGCUGUAGCGGGCUACCAAGUCUCAGUGGAAGUACUAGACUACAUUUCCCCAUAAGAGAGGCUACCAAGGGUAAACAACUAGAUUGUCGGAUCCCACACAUAGCAAUACACGUUACACGUACGCAUAACAUGCAAGUAUGUGUUGUACAACAUGGCAUCACAACAUAACUCAAACUCAUAUAUAUAAAGGCCCAGAAGAGCCACAUAGCAUUCAAUACAAACAGGGGUCUCAUGACCCAUCACUAAGAGCAUACAAACAACGGAAGCAUUACAUGUCUGAGUACAGACACCUACAAAAGGAAAAGACUAAGAAGCCUGACUAAACAGGACCCUCCCAAGGGUACAAGAUCAUAGCUUGGAUACAAGCUACUCGUCACAGUCACUAGUGUAACCAACUGCAAAACAUAAAUAAGCAAAUGUGAGUAUGAAGGUACUCAGCAAGUCUUACAUCAGAACUAUCUACAUAUGCAACAUUAUCAACAAAGGGGGUGGUGGAGUUUUAACAACAGCAAGCCAGCUUUGACUCAGUGGCUAACCUAUACUACGAGUAUCAGAAACUUCUUUGAGGUGAGAAGACGCACACGAGUCCACAUAUUCACCAUAUCAAUACUCCACUAUGGAUCCGUUCCCGCCUCCCUACGAGAAGGCCAUCCAUAGCACUCACGCUUAUGUUGCGGAUUUUAAAGUAUCCACUUCAAGUUGUCUAUGUACUACAUAAGUCCUCCAAGUUUCCUUAUCCGAGGAAAACGACUAUUCGAAUAGAUAAUGUUAACCCUGCAGGGGUGUACUUCUUCACACACACUCUCGCCACUUAUCGCCCUGUACACGUCAUGUACCUCGGCAACCUUCAAGCAGAAGACGGGCGAGGGUGUCGGCCACAACCUGACUAACCACACAAGUCUCUCGUCCAGGUUUAUCGCCUAUUCGAGUUCCAUCCGCAAGGAGUUCCGGCCGAAGUCUCCAGUACGGCCCAAACGAUGUGUGCAGGGUUCCCAAGCCCACCAUCCGGGUGCCACUUGGUACACCGUGCCAUAGUGCCUAGUCUGUCCCAAGCCCGUCCCGUCGGACACCACCUGGUAGACAAGUAACACUACCUACAAACGCCAGAAACUAGUUGCAACUCCUGGACAGAUAUCAAGUGGAUUAAUAAGCCGAGAGGGGCCAGAUAACCGGAACCCAAUGUGUGGUAGUAACUGGACUUGGAUAACAUACACAGAACUCAGUGCUUAGGGACAGUUCCAAUGAGACAACCCACCAUGUACUCGUACAUGGCCUCUCAUCGCUACCUUUACCAAAAUGUGUUCACACACUUAGCCUUUAUCGGUAGGACAUGUUCACCACUCCGAUUCAUUCCCGAUGAAUCAGACCUGACACAACUCUAAGCAUAGCUGGCAUAAAGAAAACAAGCAUGGAUGAGUAGGCACAUCAAGGCUCAAGCAACUCCUACUCAUGCUAGUGAGUUUCAACUAUUUACUGUGGCAAUGACAGGUCAUGCAGAGGAAUGGGUUCAACUACCGCAGCAGAAAGUAACAGUUGACUCGUUGUUGUCCUAAUGCAAUAUAAGGAGCAGGAGCGAGAGAGUGGGAUUUAUCGAAAUGCUCAAGGGGGGUUGCUUGCCUAAUAGAACGACGAAGGGCCACUGCUCCUCUGACAGGUACUCAGGAACACCUUCCGGAGUGGAACCUAUCGAGAAGAAACGGUGCCGGCAAUCAAUACACAAACAAUGCAACAAUAUGAUGCAUGAACAUGACAUGUGCAAAUGGUAGUGUUUGGGAUAAUGCAAGAUGCUACCAAAUUGGUUGAAGCCCAUUUGAAUCAAAUAUUUAAAUGCAAAUUCAAAAUGAAGCAUUUAAAAUGCCCAUAUUAUGUUUUCACUUAUACAGCAUUUAUAAGUUGGUUUUUCAUGCAUGUAACUGGCAUAAAUGGAUUCCUUGCAUUUUUCUGAUCAUUUUUCAUAUAUAAGUUAUUUCAUUCUGAGCUACGGUUGAAUUAUUAUGAUUUUUUGAAGUUUAAGCAAUAUUCUGGAAUUUCCUGAGUUAAAAAUAAUUCCAGAAAUCAUUUAUUGCGACAGCUUGAGGUCAGCACUGCGUCAGCAGUCAACUGGGUUGACCCAGGUCAAACCUGACCAGUGGGACCCACUGGUCAGUGACUAACUAAACUAACCUAGUUUAAUUAGCACUAAUCUAGGUUAAACUAAUUAGUUUUAAACCUAAACUAGACUAAUUAACCGGGCGGGGCCCGCAUGUCAUAGACCCAGGGGAGGUCAAAUCCCCUGGUCAACCGGGCAAACCUACCGGCGACUCGACGCUGGCGAGGCCAGACGCGGCGGUGCGCUGCGGGUUUCGCCUACCGGGCGCCAUUUGGCGCGCGGAGCGCAACUACGGGAUGCGGACGCUCGUCCGCAUCCAACCGUGGUGGUAGCGCGGCCGGGGAGUGGCCGGAAUGGCGCCGGCGAUAACGAGUGCGGCGGCCGGAGUUUGGCCAGGUGUGCGCGGGGUAUUGCGGGGCACGACAGGAGCUGCAAGCAGGUCCGCUCGACUCACCGAAGUGCACUGUGUGCAAUGGCUGCGAUGGCCCUGGCCACGGCGGCGCCAUGGCCGGCGGCACGGAGCUCUCGGCUCCGGUGGCAGAGGCGGCUAGAGGAGAGGAACGAGCUCGAGGAGGAGGGGAAAAGGCGGAGGAGCUCACAGAGAGGCUAACGGAGGGCUCGGCAGGCGCGGGGACGGCUGGUGGGCAGCAAAUCGACGGCGAGGGUCUCCGGGCACCGAAGUUGAAGAAGACGUCGGGGACAGCAUUGCAGGGCCUCCGGCGAAGCCUGGCUCGACGUGGAGGUUGAGGGAGACACGGCAGAGCUUCUGGGCAUGUCCAGGGGGCGAGGGGGAGGCAGUGGCCGCGGCAACGGCGUGUGGUGGCGUCGGCUGCGCUCGGUGGCGCUGCGGGGAAGAGAAAACAGAGGAGGGGAGGAGCACGGAAGAGAGUGAGAGAGGUCCAGGGGUGCGUGGCGUCUCCAGGGACGUCCAGAGGGAGGCAGCAAGCAGGAGGUGGCCGGGCGUGCGCCGGCGUGCAUCGGCCACACGCUCGGCGUCCUCAUGGCGCGGUGGAGACGACGACUGGCAGGGCCAGCUGGCUGGGCCGGUCAGCUGGGCCGAAUAGUGCCAGGCCUCAGGUAAGUGGCCCAGGUAAGGGUUUUUCCCUUUUUGUUUCUUUUUCUAUUUUUCUGACAUUUGUUUGGUUUAAUAGAAAUACUAAACCAUUUUAUUUUCUUAUGCCAAUUUUUGUAGGGGCUAGUGGUAUUAUUCCAGAGCUCCUCAAUUACUAGCAUAAUUUUUGGACAAUAUUAUAUAUAUAUAUAACAAUAUAUGUUGAAAGCAAAUAAUUACUGCAUUAAUUCCAAUUGCCCAACAUAAAUACUUAUGAGCUCCUGAAAAUGUUGGUUUGAUUUUCAUCUCUGUCCAAAAUAUUCAGAGAGCAACAUGAACAUUUUCUUGGACCUUUUUGAAGCAAUUUUUAUCUGGGUCAUUUCCAGAAAUGAUUCUAAGGGUUUCACAAAUCCUCAUUUCAAAAUUAAAAGGAAUUUAAACAUGAUGCACAAAUGACUAGCUUGUCUAGGUCAUACCAGAGCUAGGGAUGUGACAAAAUUGCUAGACCAAUGGAAUUAACCAGAAUGCAAGUAUGCAAGAAUUCCCAGAACAACAGGUUGUUGAAGAUUUUCGAAAGAUCAAAUAGUAUUUUGAAGUCUUUUGCGGAACACAAGAACAACUGGGAAUGAGUGGAUACUCGAUAAGUGCGAGGAAUUAUCCGUAUUGGUAUUUCUGCGGCAAGGAACUUCAAGGCAGUGGUACAAGCGAUUCUUAAGAGUCGGAGAGCAAUUCGAUGCAUCUUGUAAUAACAGGAGAAACUCAGAGUAAUUGUAUGAACAACAAGUGUAUGUCGUUAUCCAUAUGGAUAUAUCGGUAAUAGGGAAUUGAAAAGGCAGAGGGCACAAGGGUCUCGGGAAUGAUCAAAGAGUAUCUUCAAAAUCUUCUGGUGCAGUAGGCGAUCAUCUGUGAUAAGGGGCUCUCCGGGAAAGUAGUUACGAGAACCUAGAGUUAGAGUUAGCAAAAUCAUUUAACCCGAAUAGAAGAGAGAUCAGAGUCCCAGAGUAUAGACAAGGAGUAAAAGAUCCUAGUACCACCCAAUGGCGACAUGGGCCCAUGGGCCGCACAACCAUGUUAGUAAAAUAGUUUUCAUCGACUAGACUCAACUUCGGCCAAAGAGUGUGGAAGGGGGAUUCCUACAGGCAGUCGGCUCUGAUACCAACUUGUGAUGUCCUCGAUUCAAUCGUACACUAAUCAUACAUGCAAAUGUGUACAAUUAAGAUCAAGGAUUCAUGGGAAGAUAUCACAACACAACUCUAGACACAAAUUAAAAUAAUACAAGCUUUAUAUUACAAGCCAGGGGCCUCGAGGGCUCGAAUACAUAAGCUCGAAUAUACAAGAGUCAACGGAAGCAACAAUAUCUGAGUAUAGACAUGAGUUAAACAAGUUUGCCUUAAGAAGACUAGCACAAAAACAAUAACGAUCGAAAAGGCAAUGCCUCCUGCAUGGGAUCCUCCUAACUACUCUAAGUCGUCAGCGGCCGUCACGUAGUAGUAGGCACCCUCAGGGUAGCAGUAGUCUUCAGUGGUGUCGUCUGGCUCCUGGGAUCCGUCAUCUGGUCGCAACAACCAGGUAUGGGGGAAAAAGAGGUAGCAAAGCAACCGUGAGUACUCAUCCAAAGUACUCGCAAGACUUACAUCAGAUCUAAACUAAGUGUGCAUCUAUAUCAAAGGAAAUGGGCCGUAUCCGUGGACUAAACUGCAGAAUGCCAGAAGAGAAGGGGAAAAGCCUAGCCUAUCAAAGACUAGCAUCUUCUGGAACCCACCAUCUUGCAGCAAUAGGAGGGAGUAGAGUAGCAUAAAGUAAAGUAGUAGAAGUGCUAUCAACCUCAGCCAGAGAUCCUUUCUUGACUCCCUGCGAGAAAGCAAUCCCAGAGCCGUACUGUCCAUUUCUCAUAUCCAUUCAUUUCUCAUCACAUGUAUACACUUCUAGUUGUAUCGAUCGGGAUACAACUCCAAGUGUCCGUUACCGUAGGACAGGCUAUUGAUAGAUGUUUUCUUCCCUGCAGGGGUGCACCAACUUACCCACCACAAUCGAUUAACUUCGGCCGGACACACUUUCCUAGGUCAUGCCCGGCCUCGACCAAACAAUAUGCCGCAACCCGACCUAGGCUUAAUAGAGAGGUCAGCACGCCGGACUAAACCUAUGCCCCCAGGGGCCUUGGGCCAUCGCCCCGGGAAUUCCUGCACGUUGCGUGGGCGGCCGGUGAGCAGACCUAGCUACCUCCUUCAACAAGGCAGGAGCUUACGCAGUCCAACCCGGCGUGUGCCGCUCAGUCGCUGACGUCUAUUAAACUUCGGCUGAUGUAUACGACGCAGAACGCCCAUAUAAUGCCCACGUGAUUGUUAGUGCUAUCAGGCCAGAGGCCCCUUGGAUCAAAUAUCCAAACCGUAGUGGAUUAGAUGCACGCGGUAAUGAGCAAAGACUCAUGAUUGAUGUGACCCCGUCGCCCCAUCUCGAGUACUUGCGACAAGGGCUAAGAAUGCCCGGCCACGCGUCGUAAGUAUCUCGCGGGCACCUUUCAGAUCAACCCGACCCCACAUCACUCACAAUUAAGCUCGCGCGGGUACCCCUCAGGGCCGACCCAUCUUUAGUAACAUGGCUCAGUGCAAAGUCAUAGUAACCAUAGUAACUGUGUGUCUAACACCAAGGGGAAAACCCGAGGAAUCACCCCCGGUGAAUUCCACUCGAUGUUGGCAUCAAGGUGAACGUAAAAGGAUCCACCCUCGAGGUUCACACUUGAGGGGUUGCACGACAGAGCCGUAACGGAAGUGGUUAAGGAGGAAAUCACCCUCGAUGAUCACGACUGAAUAGCUACACUACAGAGAUCUCACCAGGAGUGAUGUAUGAGGUUCACCCUCGGCACUCGAUAGUAACUCUGUAGUGUCGUACAACUAGGGGGUGAUGUGCGGUGUCGGGGCCUGGACGUCGAUCACGUUGAUCGAGUCAUCGAACAUAAAGCGAGGCAACUGGGACAAGGUGGGGUCACUGAUGGAUCUCUAACCAACAUAUACUAAGCAGUUUAGGAUAAGCAGGUAAGGUAUAAAAGUAGGUAACAACAACAGGGUAUGCAUCAUAGUAGGAUCAUACAAAAAGCAGUAGCAGUUCUAAUGCAAGCAUGAGAGGGAAAGAAAUGGGCGAUAUCGGAAUGCUCAAGAAGGGUUUGCUUGCCUGGUUGCUCUGGCAAGGAGGGGUCGUCGGGGAUGUAGUCAUACUCAGUCACAUCAACGUCGGUCUCGGGGUCUACCGGAGAAGAAGAUAGGGAGAAACAGUAAAUACAGGGCAAACAAAGCAUCACAAAAUAUAACAAGGCAAAACGCGGUGCCAGGGGUGACCUAACGCAAUACUAGGCGAUACUGGCGAAGGGGGAAAAUAUCCGGGAAAGUAUUCCCGGUGUUUCGUGUUUUCGGACAGAUGAACCGGAGGGGGAAACUUGCGUGUUCGCUAUGCUAGAGAUGUGUGGCGGACGAACGGACUAUGUAUUUGGAUUCGUCUCAUCGUUCUGAGCAACUUUCAUGUAGAAAACAUUUUUAUCCGAGUUACGAAUUAUUUUCUAUGAUUUAUCAAAGUUUUAGGCAUUUUUUCUGGAUUUAUUAAAUUAUUUAAAACGAACAUUAUGCAGAAUAGUGCAUGCUGACGUCAGCAUGACGUUAGCAGUCAAUAGGGGUGUUGACUGGUCAACUCACAUGUGGGUCCCACAUGUCAUUGACUGUUUAGUCCAAUUAGGGUUUAACUAAUCUAGUUACUAUUUAGUUUAAUUAAUCAAAAUUAAUUAAGUUAAUUAAUUCUUUAAUUAAUUAAUUAAUUAUUGUUAUUGUUAUUUUUUUAGUUUUCAUUCUGGGGCGCUGGGGCCCAUCUGGCCACCGGAGCGGCUAUCGGGGCCACGGGAGCCGGCCGCUCGCCCGGACGGGCACGAGCGAGAGGACGCGUCGGGGUGCCGGCGCGGCGCCCGCCGGAGAGGGCCGUAGAGGGGGGUUGCGCGGGCGGGAGCGCUCAUGGCUGUGAGCGGAGGCGUGGGCGGACGAGGAGGGGCGUGGCCCCGGGCAGCAGCAGCGAAUGGGGACGGCGGGCGAGGAGCGACGCGGGCGUGGUUGGGAGCCGCUAUGAGGCGAGGCUCGGGGCUCGCGGCCCCGGUCAGGAGCACGUGCAACGGCCUACGGCGGUGAAUCGAGGAGGGGAGAGGGGGAGCGGCCGUGGGAGCUCACAGCGGAGGUCGGGGACGCAGUUGAGGGAGCCGGAGCUUGCCGGCGGUGACCGAUCCAGCGGCAAGGCGUCGUGGUCGAGGUGGAGGGCGACGGGUCGAUGGCGGCGCCUGGCAUGCGUCUGCGCUGUGGAGGGCGGCGGUGCUGAAGGAGAGCGAGGGGGAGGGAGCUCGGGCGUCGAGGACGGGCGCUCGCGGCAGGGAGCCCACCAUCCGGAGCGACGGCAUGGUCGGGUGCAGCGCGCGGGGCGUCCAGGUCGGGGAGGG
Molecule: long non-coding RNA, 25753 nt
Filed under: Triticum aestivum (bread wheat)
Lineage: Eukaryota; Viridiplantae; Streptophyta; Magnoliopsida; Poales; Poaceae
Description: long non-coding RNA (TAES_LNC017274)
Source: RNAcentral